Molecule: non-coding RNA, 483 nt
Organism: Sorex fumeus (smoky shrew)
Lineage: Eukaryota; Metazoa; Chordata; Mammalia; Eulipotyphla; Soricidae
Source: the annotation of a RefSeq genome assembly
AUGGACUGGACCUGGAGAAUUCUCUUCCUGGUGACAGUGGCUUCAGGUGUGAACUCCCAGAUACAGCUGGUACAGUCAGGGGCUGAGGUGAGAAAGCCUGGGACAUCAGUGAAGAUCUCCUGCAAGGCAUCCGGAUACACCUUCACCAGCAACUGGAUGUACUGGGUGCGACAGGCCCCGGGACAAGGGCUUGAGUGGAUGGGAAGGAUAUACCCUGGUGAUGGUGAUACAAGCUAUGCACAAAAGUUCCAGGGAAGAGUCACUAUCACUGCAGACAAGUCCAAGGACACAGCCUACAUGGAACUGAGCAGGCUGAGCACUGAGGACAUGGCCGUGUAUUACUGUGCGAGAAACACAGGUUACUGGGCAGAUUACAAGAUUCAUCCAUGCAUUUUGAAAAAUGUUACCAAAUUUUGCAAAAUGAUCAAUUUACAAAAAGUGAACAAAACCCUUCCCAAAGACAGAGAAAAUGUCCAUAUCUGA